This is a small nucleolar RNA of Oryctolagus cuniculus (rabbit), 82 nucleotides long. Its record names the gene SNORD115. It matches the Rfam family "Small nucleolar RNA SNORD115". From Rfam's summary of the family: HBII-52 is a member of the C/D class of snoRNAs, which contain the C (UGAUGA) and D (CUGA) box motifs. HBII-52 is encoded in a tandemly repeated array with another C/D snoRNA, HBII-85, in the Prader-Willi syndrome (PWS) region of chromosome 15. The record is from Ensembl. NCBI's taxonomy places the organism in Eukaryota, Metazoa, Chordata, Mammalia, Lagomorpha, Leporidae.
GAGUUGAUGAUGAGAACCCCAUGUUAUCUUGAAGAGAGAUGAUAACUUAAAAAUCAUGCUCAAUAGGCUUACACUGAGGCCC